This 472-nucleotide long non-coding RNA is filed under the name Sinocyclocheilus anshuiensis. Its description in RNAcentral is "lncRNA (ENSSANG00000011573.1)". Lineage: Eukaryota; Metazoa; Chordata; Actinopteri; Cypriniformes; Cyprinidae. The record is from RNAcentral.
CAGCUGUGAGGCCAGUCUCGCGCCAGGCGCCCGGUCGGAGGACCGGAGAGAGGUUGGCCAGCUCUUACCUGACCUGAUCUAUUAGCUCAUCAGUUCUGCUUUUAUUGUUUUCUGGGGUCAGACGCAGCUGACUAAAUCUUGACACAGCGAGCAUCAUUACUCCGCAGUAGAGAAUUGUUUAGCCGCACAUGUGUCAGGCAGUGUAUCCUGUAAGAAAUAGUAUUAGAAACAAUGCGUUCGUUCGUCUUGUUCCUCUGCUUGAGAGGCCUUCACAUGUCAUGCCAAAUGGAUCUCCCCUCCAAUCUCUGGUCUGAUAAAGAUGGGGUGCAUUAACAGAGAAAAGAUGAGAUUUGGCGGGAACGGACAAUCUGAAGCAGAUGCGAUGCGAAGUGAGACCACAUGGCCAAGAUCUGAUAUCAGGAAGACAUGCUUCUGGCUCAACGCUGUAGAUGCACUGAACUUGAAGCCCUGA